Molecule: long non-coding RNA, 595 nt
Organism: Papilio xuthus (Asian swallowtail)
Lineage: Eukaryota; Metazoa; Arthropoda; Insecta; Lepidoptera; Papilionidae
Exons: 2
Source: RefSeq, a predicted model, not a curated record
UUAAAAUUGACAGAAAACGUCAAAAAAUAUAUCAUUAAAAUGUAUAAAAAAAUGUUAUGAGUAAUUAUUCAGUAUUGAAAAUUCUUUAACCACAAUGUGCCUGCGUGUCUGUGAAUUUUGGACAUGGCGUUUAAUGUCCAUGUAUAUUGCUUGCGUCGGGAUCUUCGUAUCUUUUAUAUUUGGACCCCUACAAACUGUUGUAUAUCUUACAGAUCAACAUUCCGAGAUGUCUAGACUUAUAAACAAUGAGAUAAAUUUAGCACUAAUGCUUUGGUUUAUCGUUGCUUUCAUGUGGCUUAUAUUAAUCGCAAAUAUUAUCCUUUUCUUUGGUUGUUUUUAUAAUAAUAACAAGCUAGUCAUGGUAUAUUUCUACGCGAUUCUAUUUCAUUUAAUCGUCGCGUUUAAUUUGUGUAUUAGAUACGCCAUCUUGUGUUCAUUUUUCGACAACAAAUGCUUCGAUCACUCUCCUGAUAGGCAGAGUGAUGAUAGCUUCACUGGUGUUGGCAUUAUAUUUGCAUUCCUAACUUACACCGUCGCAUGGUCUGUUAUACUUUUUGUUGUAUGGAAUUAUAAAUUGACUUUACCUCUAUCUUAA